GACGAACGCUGGCGGCGUGCUUAACACAUGCAAGUCGAACGGAAAGGCCCUGCUUGCAGGGUACUCGAGUGGCGAACGGGAGAGUAACACGUGGGUGAUCUGCCCUGCACUUCGGGAUAAGCCUGGGAAACUGGGUCUAAUACCGGAUAGGAGCCAUUUUUAGUGUGAUGGUUGGAAAGUUUUUUCGGUGUAGGAUGAGCUCGCGGCCUAUCAGCUUGUUGGUGGGGUAAUGGCCUACCAAGGCGGCGACGGGUAGCCGGCCUGGGAGGGUGGACGGCCACAUUGGGACUGAGAUACGGCCCAGAAUCCUACGGGAGGCAGCCGUGGGGAAUAUUGCACAAUGGGGGCAAGCCUGAUGCAGCGACGCCGCGUGGGGGAUGACGGCCUUCGGGUUGUAAACUCCUUUCGCUAGGGACGAAGCUUUUUGUGACGGUAACUAGAUAAGAAGCACCGGCUAACUACGUG
This 465-nucleotide ribosomal RNA is filed under the name uncultured bacterium. Its description in RNAcentral is "partial 16S ribosomal RNA". It matches the Rfam family "Bacterial small subunit ribosomal RNA", at positions 28 to 507 of the family's 1533-position model. The record is from RNAcentral.